UACGGAGGGUGCAAGCGUUAAUCGGAAUUACUGGGCGUAAAGCGUGCGUAGGCGGCUUGAUAAGUCAGAUGUGAAAGCCCCGGGCUUAACCUGGGAAUUGCAUUUGAGACUGUUGAGCUAGAGUUGAGUAGAGGUAAGUGGAAUUUCAGGUGUAGCGGUGAAAUGCGUAGAGAUCUGAAGGAACACCAGUGGCGAAAGCACUCUGCUGGGCCGACACUGACACUGAGAGACGAAAGCUAGGGGAGCGAAUGGG
This 253-nucleotide ribosomal RNA is filed under the name uncultured bacterium. Its description in RNAcentral is "partial 16S ribosomal RNA". It matches the Rfam family "Bacterial small subunit ribosomal RNA", at positions 524 to 776 of the family's 1533-position model. The record is from RNAcentral.